RNAcentral lists this unclassified non-coding RNA (2907 nucleotides) under Eurytemora carolleeae. RNAcentral's name for it is "oxysterols receptor LXR-alpha". The record is from RNAcentral. Lineage: Eukaryota; Metazoa; Arthropoda; Copepoda; Calanoida; Temoridae.
GAAUCUUGUUUCUUAGCGACAACAAUAAUAUAUCUAAAAUAUAUUCUCGACUAGUCCUACAUAACGCUGUAUUCUAGAGUUCUAUGUUUACUGUAUUCAGAUAUUCCUCCUACGUAUAUUUUCUUGCGUUCAUUCUUCUGGGAGAUUUGCGUUCAGAUAGCGCUUUGUAAGCGCGAACUCAGAUGAUCCACAGAUAAACAAAAGGCUGAAAUGCGCAAAAUACAACAUCUAAAAAUAUUGUUCACAUUUUCAUAAAACUCUUUUGUCCGUUUUUGAAAUACAUCUUAUUUUACUCCAAUAUCUGUAAGUUAAAGUAUCUAAAGUAUAUUCCCCCCUGUAUAUAGUUGUGUUGAGUGCAGACAGUACGGUUACUUCAGGUCUAGGGUUUACAGUGUAUACAGGACGGAUACCGUGUUCACAAAGGAGAAUACUAGAUCCAACUUCCUUCUCGCGCUCAGAGUUAAUAUUUCAUAAAUUCAGUCCAACCGUUGCAAGCACAAUGAGCGGAACUCCGAGCUGGUACUGACCGGAAGUAUAUUUGUGAAACAAGGUUAUUAAAUACACUGUGUACUGUGUACUAGUGUUUUAUGUUUGAAAGUACGGAGCGAGGUCGAGUGAGAACCUCCUUUCAUAUAGUUCUCCCCGCCCUCAUUCUAUAGCUCUAGUUCUCUAGUCCCUCCAGAUCUAGUAUAGUAGUGAGACCUGCUCCGGGAUACAGGAACCAUGGAGGAGCAGCUAGAAGCAGCAAUCCUUCAGAACUUCUGGUUAGUUCAAGCAGAUAAACAUGGUCAGCAUCUUCUAGCCUCACUUCCAACCAUAGCUGGAGCUAAUCCUCACUUGAACCAGGUAGUUGAGGAGGAGGAGGAGGGGGAAGAUGUUUCUAAAAUGGAUUCAGACGAUUCCUCGAACAAUUCCCUUGGGGAGAACACAAACACAGUCUUCCUUCAGCUUCAGCAACUGCAGCAGCUUCAACAGUUCCAGCAGCUGCAACAGUUUCAGCAGAAACAGCUGGGACGGGUCACCCUAAGCAGGAUAUCCAACGAAGUUUCCGUGAUUCAGAAGACCGUGAAGAGAGAAGAACCCAAGAAACAGAAUUUUAUUAUUCUCUCCAAGCAAGAGAAACCGAACCUUGUCGUGGUUAAGGAGGAACCUAUAGAGAAGGAUUCCUAUAGUAAUCUUGGAAUUAAGAUUAAGGAAGAAGGAAAAAAGAGUUCUCCGGUUUCCCCUUUCAAGAGGGAAAGAUCCAGCAGAAUAUUGUGUGAGAACCCUGUCUGCCAGGUGUGUGGGGAGAAGGCUGGGAAACAUAGUUAUUACGGUGGUCAGGUCUGCCCUUCAUGCAGAGCAUUCUUUAGGAGAUCCGUGCAGUCAAGAUGCUAUACUGGAUUCCGUUGUAUAAACCGUAGUGAGAGCUGUCCUAUUAAUCUACUCACUAGGAAGAACUGUCAGUAUUGUAGGUAUCACAAGUGCUUAUCCUGUGGAAUGCGUCCUAGCUGGAUCCUAUCCGAGGAAGAGAGAAUCCGUAGGUUCCAUGGUAGAACCAAGGGGAAAGGAAAAGAACAGGGAGAUGGGUCGGAUAAUUCUGGACGUAAUACUCCACAAAGCUCCAGUAGUCCAAAAACCACAUCUCCAACUCCUCCUAGUAAUCUUUACUCUUCACUUACCAUGGUUCCACAGAUCUCCUCAUUCCAACCAACCUUAACCCCGUCCCGAUUCUCCGGAGUAGAUUCGUCCCGUUUCUCCGGGUAUGGAGUAGAGCAGAUGUCCCCUGGAGAUAGGUUCAAAAUACUUCAAUAUGCUGAGAUAAUGAAAAGAUGUUGCACAGGUCGAGAAGAUGACCUUGAGUCGGUUCUGCUGACAGAUGUUCUCCAGACUGCUCUUCAAGGAACCCAGCUCUCCAGGCAUACUGCUGAAAGGCUGAGCACUAUCCUGGACACUAGAACUAGAGUUAGCUUAUCCCUACUCCAGGAAUUCCAGAGUUUGAGUGAAAGUGAUCAGACGAGUAUCUUGAAAUACAAUCUUCCCUUAAUUCAUCGACUCCGGCAAUCCGUCCUCCUCUCAACACCAAACCUUACACUCAGGGAGUUAGUUGGUUUGCUGGUUGGAGAAGAAAAACUGACUGAAGCUGAAAAAUAUUUGCCGUUUGAUCUUUCUAAAAAAACACAGAGUCCAAAUGGCUUGGAUUACCGAGGUGUACACACUACCUGGAUAAAUGAUCAGGAGAAGGAUGAGGAGUCCCACACUAAGCUUAUUUAUAGGAUAUCUCAGAUUGUUGAUUGCACUGACAUGGUUUCAAUGGUUCUUCUCGUCCUGAUUAUUGCAUUUAAUACGGAUUUCAUAGAACUAGAGAACAGAGAACAGGUUGAGAAGAUCCAAUUGAAGUUUGUGAUACUGCUCCAGCAGUACAUAAGCACGACUGGUGCCAGGCCAAGUCAGACUCAGCCCCUCAACCUUGCCAAACCAAAUAAAGAUGUAAUGGCGGGAAAUGAAGAUGUCCAAGAAGAUCGUAUGGAACAAGGAAACUCGCUAUUCGUCAAAUUUCUAAUGAUUCCUUCCCUUCUUAGAGAGAUUCUAGAAAUAACUAAGGAAAGACUUCUGAUUUAAAUCCGUUUUUUCAAUAUUUUAGAAAUUAAAUUUUUAUAUUCUUUUGCUUAAUGUCGUCGGUAUAUGCUUCUAUAUUAAUCCUUUGCAGUUAUUUAAAAUUUAAACUUUCAACCAGUAUUUGAUCAAUUUUAGAAAGUUUGCGCAAUCUGGAUAUUGUAUAUUUGUUUAUUACAAUAUUACAAUGAUACAUAUAACUGGAUAUUAGAAUAUUACUAUAAACUUUGUGAUCGAUGUUACAUUCUCUUUAUACAUAAGCUCGGUGUCAACAAUAUUUAGAAAUUAAAUACAGCAUUAUUACUUUUAUUA